This 2386-nucleotide long non-coding RNA is filed under the name Canis lupus familiaris (dog). RNAcentral's name for it is "lncRNA (ENSCAFG00000055099.1)". The record is from RNAcentral. Lineage: Eukaryota; Metazoa; Chordata; Mammalia; Carnivora; Canidae.
CUCCAUGCAGGGAGCCCAACGUGGAACUCGAUCCUGGGACUCUGGGAUCAUGCCCUGGGCUGAAGGCAGGUGCUAAACCGCUGAGCUACCCAGGGAUCCCCAAAGCCUGGAGUUUUAAAAAGUCAGCGUGCAUGGCUCUGAAAGAGCUCAGAGAGGGGCUACUCUUGGAGGGAAGUCAGGCAAACAGCCUAAGGACACACAGCAUGGAAACAGUGAUCUGAAGAGCACCUGGGGAACACAGUGAGGUUAUUCACUUGUCUUACAUGCAUUCCAGAGAGACAGCUUUCCAGGAGAGACUCCUCGGGGAACAAAGAAACUGGCCAGCACCGUUUCCCUCUCCCCUGCCCCUCAAGAUAAGCACAGGGCCAACUGCAGGAAUCAGCACAGAGGGGACACUGACUACUUGACUUGCUUACACCAGUCCCACCAAUCCACAUUCUGGUAGAACCAUCCAUUCCAGUCUCUCUUGCCUUAGUUCCAGUGUAGCAGUGCCCCUUCCCCAGAACAUUUGCCCAAACCCCUGCUCACACUCUGUCUUCUGAUGCAAGAGUUUUGCAGCAAAAAUAGUCAAUUCUCAUGGCAAUGGCAACAGGUCUCAUGUCAUAAGCAGACUAGAGCACAUCUACUUAAAACAUGCCACAUUCAGCCCAGGAACCAAACACUGCUCAUAACAGGCAAAGACAACCUCUGCAGAUAACUAGACUGAGGGAUAAAGCAACCAGGAAAAAACAGCAGAGCAUACACAGCACACAUCGUAGAUACUUUAGGAAGCAGAAGGCCCUGGGGAACGGGACAUUAUACAGCAGGACACUACAGGACCUCUUCUUCAUAAGGCCAUUACCUUCAAGAACAGGAGAUGGAGCUGGCUUUUUCAACACAGAAAUAGGCACAGAGACUUGGACUAAAGGAGAAGACAGAAAAAUCUAUCCUAAAUGAAAGAAUAGGACAAGGCCAUGGCCAGGGAUAUAACCCAAACAGAUAUAAAUAACAUAACUGAUAGAGAAUUUAAAAUAAUUAUCAUAUGGAUAUUCACUGGACUUGAGAAAAGAGUGGAAGACAUGAGUAAGACCCCUAACACAAAGAUAAGGAAUCACAUAGCAAACAUAAAGGAUACAAUAAACAAAAUGAGAAACACACCUAACAGAAUCAACAGCAGGACAGAAGAAGCAGAGGAAUGAAUUAGUGACCUAAAAGGCAGAGUAAAGGAAAGUAAUCAAGCUGAACGAAACAGAGAAAAAAGAAUUAUGCAAAACAAGAAUAGACUUAGAGAAGAACUCAGCAACUCCAUCAAACAAUAAUGUUCAUAUUACAGGGGUCCCAGAAGAAGCAGAAAGAGAAAGGGAGGCAAAAAUGUAUUUGAAGAAAUAAAAGCUGACAACUUCCCUAAUCUGAAGAAUCCUCUGGACAUCCAGAUCCAGGAAACAGAGAACUCCCAUCAAAGUCAACAAGAGCAGAUCCACUCCAUGGCAUAUUGUAAUUAAUAUGAUAAAAUAUAGUGAUAAAGAAAUAAUCUUAAAGCAGCAAGACAAAAGAAGACAGUAACUUACAAGAGAAAUGCCAUAAUGCUAGCAGAUUUUUCAACAGAAACUUUGCCACCCAAAAGGGAGCAGCAUGAUAUAUUUGAAGUGCUGAAAUGAAAAAAACUGCAACCAAUAAUAUUCUACCCAGCAAAGCUAUCAUUCAGAACAGAAGGAGAGAGAAAGAGUUCUCCAGGGGAAAAAAAAAAAAAAGUUUGCCAGACAAAAGUAAAAGAGGUUCAUGACCACUAAACCAGUCCUGCAAGAUAUAUUAAAGGGGACUGUUUGAGUAGAAAAGAGAGAACAAAAGUGACAGUAUAAAGGUAGGAAACACAAAAGCAAUAAAAAUGAAUAUUUCUGUAAAAGAAUCUAUCAAGGGACUCACAAAAUAAAAUGAUAUAAAAUAUAAUGACAUAUACCUAAAACAUUGGAAGAAGGAUAAAGAAUGGGUUCAAGAUUAAACGACUCAACUUAAUAUAGACUGCUAUAUGUAGAAGAUCUUACAUGCAAACCUAGUGGUAACUAUAUAUCAAAACCACUAAUAAAUACAUAAAGUAUAAAGAGAAAGAAAUCCAAAUAUAUCACUAAAGAAAAUCAGCAAAACAUGAAAGAGAAAGACAAGAUCAGAGAAAAUCUUCAGAGACAACCAUAAAACAAAUAAUGACUAUAUAUAUAAAAUUACUUAUGGACUAAAUACUCCAAUCAAAAGACAGCAUGAGGGGCACCUGGGUGGCUCAGUCAGUUAAGUGUAUGACCUGAAGGUGGUGAGACUGAGCCCUCUGUCAGGCUCUAUGUGGAGCCUGCUUAAGAUUUUCUCUCUCCUUCACCCACCCUCCACCUUCCUCUCAAAAAAAAAAAAAAAAAAAAAA